RNAcentral lists this long non-coding RNA (1364 nucleotides) under Felis catus (domestic cat). RNAcentral's name for it is "lncRNA (ENSFCAG00000051102.1)". The record is from RNAcentral. Lineage: Eukaryota; Metazoa; Chordata; Mammalia; Carnivora; Felidae.
AACAAAAUCCAACUCAGAAAUACAAGCAGAAGAGAGACAUGUUUCCUGCUGGACAAGGCUUGUAUUUAGCCACCCUCGUAGCCUGGACCCACUGAGGCAAGAAUGGCAGGAACCUGGAACGUCAAAGGCCCUGCAGCUGUUGCCUGGACUUGAGUGGCUAACUCUCAGUUUCCUCAGCUGUAAAGCAGUGACCAAGGUAGUUCUGGAUGUUGGGGAAACUGCCCUCCCAGUCCUGCCUCAUUUCUCUGGCUCAUUGCUGCAGCUUUCUUUCCUUUGCUCACUUUUUCCUCUUGCUUGGAACUGCCUUUCCAUUUUUUGGCUGAAAGCCUGGGCAUAUUCAUAUUUAAAAAUAUUUUUAAAAUAGACUUAUACCAUUUUCACCCAUUUACUCCUAACCCUUUCCUUCCACCUUUGGUAAACACCAAUCUGUUGUCUGCUUCUAUGAGCCUUUUUCUUCCUUUUUUAAACUCCACAUAUAAGAGAGAUCAUACGAUUUGUCUUUCUCUGUCAAACUUAUUUCACUUAGCAUAAUGCCCUCAGAGUUCAUCCAUGUUGUCACAAAUGGCAAGAUUUCACUGUUGUUGUUUUUUUUUGAUGACUAACUGAUAUUCCACUCUCUCCAUAUACAAUAAUUUCUUUGUCCAUCCGUCCAUUAAUAGGUCGUUUCCAUGUCUUAGCUAUUGUAAAUAAUGCUGCAAUGAAUAUGGGGGUGCAGAUAUCUUUUUGACUUAGUAUUUUUGUUUUCUUUGGAUAAAUAUCCAAAGAAACCAUCCAAACCUGGAUGGCUCAGUUGCUUAAGUAUCUGACUCUUGAUCUCAGCUUAGGUCUUGAUCUCAGGGUUGUGCUUAGACCCCAUGCUGGCUGUGAAACAAACAAACAAACAAACACCCUCCCUAAUUAUCUGGAUAAAUAUCCAGAAGUGACAUUCCUGGAUCAUAUGGUAGUUCUCUUUUAACUGUUUUUCAAUGGGUGUUGGUGGUUUCUUCUGAUGUAAAGAAGGUUUUAAUAUGAUGUAGUCUCACAAAAUGAAAAGAAAAGCUACCAAAUGGGGGAAAAGUUUUGCAAAGCAUAUCUGAUAAGACAUUAAUAUACAAAAUAUAUAAAGUACUCAUACAAACUAAUAACAAAAAACCCCCAAACAAUCUGAUUUUAAAAAGUGCAGAUGAUCACAAUAUACAUUUUCUCAAAGAAGAGAAAGAGGCAACCAACAGUUACAUGAAAAGAUAGUCUACAUCAUUAAUCAUCAGUGAAAUGCAAACCAGAACCACAAUGAGAUGUCACUUUGCACCUGUUAGAAUGGCUACUAUCAAAAAGACAAGAGAUAACAGGUAUUGUUAAGGAUGUGGAGAAAGGGAACCCUGUGC